UUGGGUUACUAACACAUGAUUGUU
This 24-nucleotide non-coding RNA is filed under the name Arabidopsis thaliana (thale cress). Lineage: Eukaryota; Viridiplantae; Streptophyta; Magnoliopsida; Brassicales; Brassicaceae. The record is from RNAcentral.